RNAcentral lists this ribosomal RNA (230 nucleotides) under uncultured bacterium. RNAcentral describes it as "partial 16S ribosomal RNA". It matches the Rfam family "Bacterial small subunit ribosomal RNA", at positions 118 to 347 of the family's 1533-position model. The record is from RNAcentral.
UGGGCAACCUGCCCCUAGCUCUGGGAUAACUCCGGGAAACCGGGGCUAAUACCGGAUACGACCUCGAGCGGCACCUCUUGAGGUGGAAAGUUUUUCGGCUAGGGAUGGGCCCGCGGCCUAUCAGCUUGUUGGUGAGGUAACGGCCCACCAAGGCGACGACGGGUAGCCGGCCUGAGAGGGCGACCGGCCACACUGGGACUGAGACACGGCCCAGACUCCGUACGGGAGCA